RNAcentral lists this ribosomal RNA (492 nucleotides) under uncultured bacterium. RNAcentral describes it as "partial 16S ribosomal RNA". It matches the Rfam family "Bacterial small subunit ribosomal RNA", at positions 29 to 507 of the family's 1533-position model. The record is from RNAcentral.
AGUGAACGCUGGCGGUAGGCCUAACACAUGCAAGUCGAACGGCAGCACAGUAAGAGCUUGCUCUUACGGGUGGCGAGUGGCGGACGGGUGAGGAAUACAUCGGAAUCUACUUUUUCGUGGGGGAUAACGUAGGGAAACUUACGCUAAUACCGCAUACGACCUACGGGUGAAAGCAGGGGAUCUUCGGACCUUGCGCGAUUGAAUGAGCCGAUGUCGGAUUAGCUAGUUGGCGGGGUAAAGGCCCACCAAGGCGACGAUCCGUAGCUGGUCUGAGAGGAUGAUAAGCGACACUGGAACUGGGACACGGUCCAGACUCCUACGGGAGGCAGCAGUGGGGAAUAUUGGACAAUGGGCGCAAGCCUGAUCCAGCCAUACCGCGUGGGUGAAGAAGGCCUUCGGGUUGUAAAGCCCUUUUGUUGGGAAAGAAAAGCAGCAGGUUAAUACCCCGCUGUUCUGACGGUAACCAAAGAAUAAGCACCGGCUAACUUCGUG